AGAUAAUGGCUAAUUAUUGUAUCAAUUUAACUUCUCUUAAUGUAAAUGGCUUUGGAAACGAUUUUAAACGCAAAUCCAUGUUUCUUUGGUUGAAAAAAUUUCAAAGCGACAUCAUUUUCUUGCAAGAAACACACAGUACUGAAUCGUAUGAAACUAUAUGGAAAAGGGAAUGGGGUGGAGAUAUUUAUUUUUCGCACGGGGAAACGAACUCUAAAGGUGUUGCUAUUUUGUUUAACAGCUCAACAGAUUAUAUAUUAAAGGAAAAAAAUUGCAGAUGAAAACGGAAGGUAUCUCAUUCUAACUGUUGAAAUUGAUAACACAGAUUUUGUUUUUGUAAAUUAUUAUGCACCGACCAAAAAUUUUGAAAAUGACCAAAUUG
RNAcentral lists this long non-coding RNA (379 nucleotides) under Mytilus galloprovincialis (Mediterranean mussel). Lineage: Eukaryota; Metazoa; Mollusca; Bivalvia; Mytilida; Mytilidae. The record is from RNAcentral.